This 83-nucleotide transfer RNA is filed under the name Candidatus Competibacteraceae bacterium. RNAcentral's name for it is "tRNA-OTHER". It matches the Rfam family "tRNA". Rfam says of the family: Transfer RNA (tRNA) molecules are approximately 80 nucleotides in length. Their secondary structure includes four short double-helical elements and three loops (D, anti-codon, and T loops). The record is from RNAcentral. Lineage: Bacteria; Pseudomonadati; Pseudomonadota; Gammaproteobacteria; Candidatus Competibacteraceae.
GCCGAUGUGGUGGAAUUGGUAGACACGNNNNUGAGGGGGUAGUGGCGCAAGCCGUGUCGGUUCGAGUCCGACCAUCGGCACCA